GAUGAACGCUGGCGGCGUGCCUAAUACAUGCAAGUCGAGCGGAAACAGGGGAGCUUGCUCCCGCUGUCGAGCGGCGGACGGCUGAGUAACGCGUAGGAACAUACCCCAAAGUGAGGGAUAAGCAUUGGAAACAGUGUCUAAUACCGCAUGUGAUCUAAGGAUUAAAGCUUUAUGCGCUUUGGGAAUGGCCUGCGUAAGAUUAGCUUGUUGGUGAGGUAAUGGCUCACCAAGGCGACGAUCUUUAGCUGGUCUGAGAGGAUGAUCAGCCAGACUGGAACUGAGACACGGUCCAGACUCCUACGGGAGGCAGCAGUAGGGAAUUUUCCACAAUGGGCGAAAGCCUGAUGGAGCAACGCCGCGUGCAGGAUGAAUGCCUUCGGGUUGUAAACUGCUUUUAUAUGUGACGAAUAUGACGGUAGCAUAUGAAUAAGGAUCGGCUAACUCCGUGCCAGCCGCCGCAGUAAUAC
Molecule: ribosomal RNA, 467 nt
Filed under: uncultured bacterium
Lineage: Bacteria
Description: bacterial SSU rRNA
Rfam family: Bacterial small subunit ribosomal RNA
Source: RNAcentral